UGGGGGAUAACAUUUGGAAACAGAUGCUAAUACCGCAUAAAACCUAACACCGCAUGGGUGUAGGGUUGAAAGACUGGUUUCGGCUAUCACUUUAGGAUGGACCCGCGGUGCAUUAGUUAGUUGGUGAGGUAAAGGCUCACCAAGACCGUGAUGCAUAGGCCGACCUGAGAGGGUAAUCGGCCACACUGGGACUGAGACACGGCCCAGACUCCUACGGGAGGCAGCAGUAGGGAAUCUUCCACAAUGGACGAAAGUCUGAUGGAGCAACGCCGCGUGAGUGAAGAAGGUUUUCGGAUCGUAAAACUCUGUUGUUGGAGAAGAAUUGUAUCUGAUAGUAACUGAUCAGGUAGUGACGGUAUCCAACCAGAAAGCCACGGCUAACUACAUG
This 388-nucleotide ribosomal RNA is filed under the name uncultured bacterium. RNAcentral's name for it is "bacterial SSU rRNA". It matches the Rfam family "Bacterial small subunit ribosomal RNA", at positions 137 to 507 of the family's 1533-position model. The record is from RNAcentral.